This 1307-nucleotide ribosomal RNA is filed under the name human gut metagenome. RNAcentral's name for it is "bacterial LSU rRNA". It matches the Rfam family "Bacterial large subunit ribosomal RNA", at positions 1173 to 2471 of the family's 2925-position model. The record is from RNAcentral.
UCACGGGGCUAAGCGAUGCACCGAAGCGGCGGACUGAGAAUUCAGUGGUAGGGGAGCUCUCCGCGGGGGGCGAAGCAGCAGGGCGACCUGCUGUGGACCGCGCGGAGGUGAGAAUGCUGGCAUGAGUAACGAGACCAGGGCGAGAAACCCUGGCGCCGUGAGCCUAAGGGUUCCUGGGCGAGGCUAAUCCCCCCAGGGUCAGUCGGGAGCUAAGGCGAGGCCGAGAGGCGUAGCCGAUGCGCAGCGGGCAGACAUUCCCGCACCGCCGACGGCGCGGCAUUACCGAUGGGGCGACGGAGAAGGGUAGCCGGGCGGGGUUCUGGACGUCCCCGUGAAAGCGCGUAGGGCGCGCAGCGUGGAAACCAGCUGCGCACGAGGCCUGAGACGCGAGACGAAGCGAACGAGCGAAGCCGGUGAGCCCAUGCUUCCGAGAAAAACCUCUAGGGAGUGCCGUCGGCGCCCGUACCAAAACCGACACAGGUGGGCGGGUAGAACAUACCGAGGCGAUCGGGAGAACCACGGUUAAGGAACUCGGCAUACUGGCCCCGUAACUUCGGGAGAAGGGGCGCCGCCGCCGGUGAUAGCCCUCGCGGCAGGAGCUGGCGGCGGCCGCAGCGAAACGGCCCAAGCGACUGUUUAUCAAAAACACAGGACUCUGCAAAGCGGUAACGCGACGUAUAGGGUCUGACGCCUGCCCGGUGCCGGAAGGUUACGCGGAUGCGUCAGCCGAAAGGCGAAGCGCUGAAGCCAAGCCCCGGUAAACGGCGGCCGUAACUAUAACGGUCCUAAGGUAGCGAAAUUCCUUGUCGGGUAAGUUCCGACCUGCACGAAUGGCGUAACGAUUUGGGCGCUGUCUCAACCGUGGACCCGGUGAAAUUGUACUGUUCGUGAAGAUGCGAACUACCCGCGGAAGGACGGAAAGACCCCGUGAACCUUUACUGCAGCUUGGCAUUGGCAUCUGGUACGGCGCGUAGAGGAUAGGCGGGAGCCUUUGAAGCGGGGGCGCAAGCCCCCGUGGAGGCGACCUUGGAAUACCGCCCUCGUCGUGCCGGCUGCCUAACGCGCGGCCGUGAUCCGGCGCGCGGACCGUGCCAGGCGGGUAGUUUGACUGGGGCGGUCGCCUCCCAAAACGUAACGGAGGCGCGCGAAAGGUCCGCUCAGGACGGUCGGCAACCGUCCCGAGAGCGCAAGAGUGCAAGCGGGCUUGACUGCGAGAGAGACACCUCGAGCAGGGACGAAAGUCGGUUCUAGUGAUCCGGCGGCACAGAGUGGAAUGGCCGUCGCUCAACGGAUAAAAGGUACUCCGG